AGAGUUUGAUCCUGGCUCAGGACGAACGCUGGCGGCGUGCUUAACACAUGCAAGUCGAACGGAAAGGCCCUUCGGGGUACUCGAGUGGCGAACGGGUGAGUAACACGUGGGUGAUCUGCCCUGCACUUUGGGAUAAGCCUGGGAAACUGGGUCUAAUACCGAAUAUGACCAUGCACUUCCUGGUGUGUGGUGGAAAGCUUUUGCGGUGUGGGAUGGGCCCGCGGCCUAUCAGCUUGUUGGUGGGGUAAUGGCCUACCAAGGCGACGACGGGUAGCCGGCCUGAGAGGGUGACCGGCCACACUGGGACUGAGAUACGGCCCAGACUCCUACGGGAGGCAGCAGUGGGGAAUAUUGCACAAUGGGCGCAGGCCUGAUGCAGCGACGCCGCGUGAGGGAUGACGGCCUUCGGGUUGUAAACCUCUUUCAGCACAGACGAAGCGCAAGUGACGGUAUGUGCAGAAGAAGGACCGGCCAACUACGUGCCAGCAGCCGCGGUAAUACGUAGGGUCCGAGCGUUGUCCGGAAUUACUGGGCGUAAAGAGCUCGUAGGUGGUUUGUCGCGUUGUUCGUGAAAACUCACAGCUUAACUGUGGGCGUGCGGGCGAUACGGGCAGACUUGAGUACUGCAGGGGAGACUGGAAUUCCUGGUGUAGCGGUGGAAUGCGCAGAUAUCAGGAGGAACACCGGUGGCGAAGGCGGGUCUCUGGGCAGUAACUGACGCUGAGGAGCGAAAGCGUGGGGAGCGUACAGGAUUAGAUACCCUGGUAGUCC
RNAcentral lists this ribosomal RNA (771 nucleotides) under uncultured bacterium. Its description in RNAcentral is "bacterial SSU rRNA". It matches the Rfam family "Bacterial small subunit ribosomal RNA", at positions 8 to 796 of the family's 1533-position model. The record is from RNAcentral.